GGGUUAAGGUCGGACAAGAAUUAGCUGGGGUAGCUUGUUUAAUAAAACUAGUGUUUUAAAGGACUUUUUGGUUUUUGGUCCUUAAGAUUAGGAUAAAUAGAAUAAAUUACUUUAGGGAUAACAGCGUUAUAAUUUUAGAAAGAUCUUAUUAGUAAAAUUGAUUGCGACCUCGAUGUUGAAUUAAAAGAGCUUUAUGGGGCAGCGGCUAUUUAAGCAGGUUUGUUCAACCUUUAUAAUUUUACAU
RNAcentral lists this ribosomal RNA (244 nucleotides) under Scopelocheirus schellenbergi. Its description in RNAcentral is "partial large subunit ribosomal RNA". The record is from RNAcentral. Lineage: Eukaryota; Metazoa; Arthropoda; Malacostraca; Amphipoda; Lysianassidae.